UACGUAGGGUGCGAGCGUUAAUCGGAAUUACUGGGCGUAAAGCGUGCGCAGGCGGUUCGCUAAGACCGAUGUGAAAUCCCCGGGCUUAACCUGGGAACUGCAUUGGUGACUGGCGGGCUAGAGUAUGGCAGAGGGGGGUAGAAUUCCACGUGUAGCAGUGAAAUGCGUAGAGAUGUGGAGGAAUACCGAUGGCGAAGGCAGCCCCCUGGGCCAAUACUGAUGCUCAUGCACGAAAGCGUGGGGAGCAAACAGG
RNAcentral lists this ribosomal RNA (253 nucleotides) under uncultured bacterium. RNAcentral's name for it is "partial 16S ribosomal RNA". It matches the Rfam family "Bacterial small subunit ribosomal RNA", at positions 524 to 776 of the family's 1533-position model. The record is from RNAcentral.